RNAcentral lists this ribosomal RNA (253 nucleotides) under uncultured bacterium. RNAcentral describes it as "partial 16S ribosomal RNA". It matches the Rfam family "Bacterial small subunit ribosomal RNA", at positions 524 to 776 of the family's 1533-position model. The record is from RNAcentral.
UACGUAGGGGGCGAGCGUUGUCCGAAUUCACUGGGCGUAAAGCGCGCGUAGGCGGGUUUUUAAGUUGGGGGUGAAAUGCCGAGGCUCAACCUCGGAACUGCCUCCAAAACUGGAAGCCUUGAGGCUUGGAGAGGGAAGUGGAAUUCCUGGUGUAGCGGUGAAAUGCGUAGAUAUCAGGAGGAACACCCAUGGCGAAGGCAGCUUCCUGGUCAUGUCCUGACGCUGAGGUGCGAAAGCUAGGGGAGCGAACGGG